ACAUGAUGUGGAGUUUCACUGGUCAUGUAUUCAUUUACAAAUAUGGGCAGCUGAGGUAUAUUGGAAAAAGCAAUUGAUAUAUCGGCCAAUGCAGUACCAAAGCAGAACAGAGUCAGAGGACUGAGACCACCCUACCUUAACGCUUACUAUACACCUGUAGCAAUCAACACAGACUGGGGUUGGCAAAAGGAUAAACAAAUAAUGGAAUGGAGCAGAGAGUCUAAAAACAGAAUUACACAAGUAAAAUCAACUGAUCUUUGGAGAAAGAACAAUGGCAAUAAUGUGAAGAAAAAGUCUUUUUAACAAAUGAUGCUGAAAUCACUAAAUAUUCACAUGCAACUAAAGUGAAGAAGACACAGACCUUAAUAAAAAUUAACUUGGGCUAGGGA
Ictidomys tridecemlineatus (thirteen-lined ground squirrel) is the source of this 389-nucleotide non-coding RNA. The record is from RefSeq and is a predicted model, not a curated record. NCBI's taxonomy places the organism in Eukaryota, Metazoa, Chordata, Mammalia, Rodentia, Sciuridae.